UAUUAGCUAAAUUGGUAUCUAUAGAAGCCUCUUUAAGGAUACCACUUUGCACUGCAGUCUCAGUAUGUUGGGCCAGAAAAGGCCCACAGUCCAAAUCAAGUCCUGCUUUGAUAGCAUCAGCAGCAGCUUCCUCAGGUGUUGAUGUAUAGUGUUGAUUUUCGUAGAAAACUCCGACGGAGUCACAGUCGGAGACAAUGUAGCCGUUAAGACCCCAACCGCCGGCCCGCUUUGAUGGCAUCAGCAGCAGCUUCCUCAGGUGUUGAUGUGUAGUGUUGAUUUUCGUAGAAAACUCCAACGGAGUCACAAUCGGAAACAAUGUAGCCGUUGAGACCCCAACCGCCGCGUAUGGUUUUGCGAAGAAGGUACGGAUCAGCACAAGUAGGUAUGCCAUUGACUUGAUUGUAAG
Molecule: long non-coding RNA, 406 nt
Filed under: Nicotiana benthamiana
Lineage: Eukaryota; Viridiplantae; Streptophyta; Magnoliopsida; Solanales; Solanaceae
Description: long non-coding RNA (NBEN_LNC041798)
Source: RNAcentral